GGUCAGGAUGAACGCUAGCGGCAGGCUUAACACAUGCAAGUCGAGGGGCAUCGGGAGUAGCAAUACUUGCCGGCGACCGGCGCAAGGGUGCGUAACGCGUGAGCAACAUGCCCGUAUCAGGGGGGAUAAUCCAUGGAAACGUGGUCUAAUACCCCAUAGUAAUUAUGUAAGGCAUCUUAUAUAAUUUAAAGCUUUGGUGGAUACGGAUUGGCUCGCGUGACAUUAGCUAGAUGGUAAGGUAACGGCUUACCAUGGCUACGAUGUCUAGGGGUUCUGAGAGGAAGGCCCCCCACACUGGAACUGAGACACGGUCCAGACUCCUACGGGAGGCAGCAGUGAGGAAUAUUGGACAAUGGAUGGAAAUCUGAUCCAGCCAUGCCGCGUGCAGGAAGAACCGGCCCUAUGGGUUGUAAACUGCUUUUGUAUGGGAGCAAUAAGGGCUACGCGUAGUCCGAUGAGAGUACCAUACGAAUAAGCACCGGCUAACUCCGUGCCAGCAGCAGC
RNAcentral lists this ribosomal RNA (504 nucleotides) under uncultured bacterium. RNAcentral describes it as "bacterial SSU rRNA". It matches the Rfam family "Bacterial small subunit ribosomal RNA", at positions 22 to 518 of the family's 1533-position model. The record is from RNAcentral.